Molecule: ribosomal RNA, 253 nt
Filed under: uncultured bacterium
Lineage: Bacteria
Description: partial 16S ribosomal RNA
Rfam family: Bacterial small subunit ribosomal RNA
Source: RNAcentral
UACAGAGGGGGCAAGCGUUGUUCGGAAUUACUGGGCGUAAAGGGCGCGUAGGCGGCCUUCUAAGUCGAACGUGAAAUCCCUGGGCUCAACCCAGGAACUGCGUCCGAUACUGGAAGGCUUGAAUCCGGGAGAGGGAUGUGGAAUUCCAGGUGUAGCGGUGAAAUGCGUAGAUAUCUGGAGGAACACCGGUGGCGAAGGCGGCAUCCUGGACCGGUAUUGACGCUGAGGCGCGAAAGCUAGGGGAGCAAACGGG